GACGAACGCUGGCGGCGUGCUUAACACAUGCAAGUCGAACGGAAAGGCCCUGCUUUUGUGGGGUGCUCGAGUGGCGAACGGGUGAGUAACACGUGAGUAACCUGCCCUUGACUUUGGGAUAACUUCAGGAAACUGGGGCUAAUACCGGAUAGGAGCUCCUGCUGCAUGGUGGGGGUUGGAAAGUUUCGGCGGUUGGGGAUGGACUCGCGGCUUAUCAGCUUGUUGGUGGGGUAGUGGCUUACCAAGGCUUUGACGGGUAGCCGGCAUGAGAGGGUGACCGGCCACAUUGGGACUGAGAUACGGCGCAGACUCCUACGGGAGGCAGAAGUGGGGAAUAUUGCACAAUGGGCGGAAGCCUGAUGAAGCAACGCCGCGUGCGGGAUGACGGCCUUCGGGUUGUAAACCGCUUUCGCAUGUGACGAAGCGUGAGUGACGGUAAUGGGUAAAGAAGCACCGGCUAACUACGUG
This 468-nucleotide ribosomal RNA is filed under the name uncultured bacterium. Its description in RNAcentral is "partial 16S ribosomal RNA". It matches the Rfam family "Bacterial small subunit ribosomal RNA", at positions 28 to 507 of the family's 1533-position model. The record is from RNAcentral.